GCCCUUGUGGUGUAAUGGUAGCACACUAGGCUCAUUUUUAAUAGGUCCUGGUUCGAGUCCCGGCGAGAGCA
Molecule: transfer RNA, 71 nt
Filed under: Stegodyphus mimosarum
Lineage: Eukaryota; Metazoa; Arthropoda; Arachnida; Araneae; Eresidae
Rfam family: tRNA
About the family: Transfer RNA (tRNA) molecules are approximately 80 nucleotides in length. Their secondary structure includes four short double-helical elements and three loops (D, anti-codon, and T loops). Further hydrogen bonds mediate the characteristic L-shaped molecular structure. tRNAs have two regions of fundamental functional importance: the anti-codon, which is responsible for specific mRNA codon recognition, and the 3' end, to which the tRNAs corresponding amino acid is attached (by aminoacyl-tRNA synthetases). tRNAs cope with the degeneracy of the genetic code in two manners: having more than one tRNA (with a specific anti-codon) for a particular amino acid; and 'wobble' base-pairing, i.e. permitting non-standard base-pairing at the 3rd anti-codon position.
Source: Rfam by way of RNAcentral